Molecule: ribosomal RNA, 435 nt
Filed under: uncultured bacterium
Lineage: Bacteria
Description: partial 16S ribosomal RNA
Rfam family: Bacterial small subunit ribosomal RNA
Source: RNAcentral
AGCGAACGCUGGCGGCAGGCUUAACACAUGCAAGUCGAACGGGCAUAGCAAUAUGUCAGUGGCAGACGGGUGAGUAACGCGUGGGAACGUACCUUUUGGUUCGGAACAACACAGGGAAACUUGUUCUAAUACCGGAUAAGCCCUUACGGGGAAAGAUUUAUCGCCGAAAGAUCGGCCCGCGUCUGAUUAGCUAGUUGGUAGGGUAAUGGCCUACCAAGGCGACGAUCAGUAGCUGGUCUGAGAGGAUGAUCAGCCACAUUGGGACUGAGACACGGCCCAAACUCCUACGGGAGGCAGCAGUGGGGAAUAUUGGACAAUGGGCGAAAGCCUGAUCCAGCCAUGCCGCGUGAGUGAUGAAGGCCCUAGGGUUGUAAAGCUCUUUUGUGCGGGAAGAUAAUGACGGUACCGAAAGAAUAAGCCCCGGCUAACUUCGUG